UACGUAGGGUGCAAGCGUUGUCCGGAAUUAUUGGGCGUAAAGAGCUCGUAGGCGGUUGGGUAAGUCGGGUGUGAAAACUCCAGGCUCAACUUGGAGACGCCACCCGAUACUGCUCUGACUUGAGUUCGGUAGGGGAGUGGGGAAUUCCUGGUGUAGCGGUGAAAUGCGCAGAUAUCAGGAGGAACACCGGUGGCGAAGGCGCCACUCUGGGCCGAAACUGACGCUGAGGAGCGAAAGCGUGGGGAGCGAACAGG
This 254-nucleotide ribosomal RNA is filed under the name uncultured bacterium. Its description in RNAcentral is "partial 16S ribosomal RNA". It matches the Rfam family "Bacterial small subunit ribosomal RNA", at positions 524 to 776 of the family's 1533-position model. The record is from RNAcentral.